UACGUAGGGUGCGAGCGUUGUCCGGAAUUAUUGGGCGUAAAGGCUCGUAGGCGGUCUGUCACGUCGGAAGUGAAAACUCGGGGCUUAACUCCGAGCCUGCUUCUGAUACGGGCAGACUAGAGGUAUGCAGGGGAGAAUGGAAUUCCUGGUGUAGCGGUGAAAUGCGCAGAUAUCAGGAGGAACACCGGUGGCGAAGGCGGUUCUCUGGGCAUGACCUGACGCUGAGGAGCGAAAGUGUGGGGAGCGAACAGG
Molecule: ribosomal RNA, 252 nt
Filed under: uncultured bacterium
Lineage: Bacteria
Description: partial 16S ribosomal RNA
Rfam family: Bacterial small subunit ribosomal RNA
Source: RNAcentral